CGGAUUCUGGCUCAGGAUGAACGCUGGCGGCGUGCCUAACACAUGCAAGUCGAGCGGAGAUAAUGCACCGGAUGAAGAUUCGUCGGAUUCCACCGCGUUAUCUAGCGGCGGAUGGGUGAGUAACACGUGGACAACCUGCCCAUAACUGGGGGAUAGCAGUUGGAAACGACUGAUAAUACCGCAUAUGCUCACAGCACCGCAUGGUGCAGGGAGGAAAGAUUUAUCGGUUAUGGAUGGGUCCGCGUCGGAUUAACUAGUUGGUGAGGUAACGGCCCACCAAGGUGAUGAUCCGUAGCCGGCCUGAGAGGGCGACCGGCCACAUUGGGACUGAGACACGGCCCAGACUCCUACGGGAGGCAGCAGUGGGGGAUAUUGCACAAUGGGCGCAAGCCUGAUGCAGCGACGCCGCGUGAAGGAAGAAGUACUCCGGUAUGUAAACUUCUAUCAGCAGGGAAGAAGAUGACGGUACCUGACUAAGAACGCCCCGGCUAACUACGUGCCAGCCGCGGC
Molecule: ribosomal RNA, 510 nt
Filed under: uncultured bacterium
Lineage: Bacteria
Description: bacterial SSU rRNA
Rfam family: Bacterial small subunit ribosomal RNA
Source: RNAcentral